This 1580-nucleotide ribosomal RNA is filed under the name Salmonella enterica subsp. enterica serovar Typhimurium var. 5-. RNAcentral describes it as "bacterial LSU rRNA". It matches the Rfam family "Bacterial large subunit ribosomal RNA", at positions 1260 to 2823 of the family's 2925-position model. Lineage: Bacteria; Pseudomonadati; Pseudomonadota; Gammaproteobacteria; Enterobacterales; Enterobacteriaceae. The record is from RNAcentral.
CCUGUGAGGGUUGCUGGAGGUAUCAGAAGUGCGAAUGCUGACAUAAGUAACGAUAAAGCGGGUGAAAAGCCCGCUCGCCGGAAGACCAAGGGUUCCUGUCCAACGUUAAUCGGGGCAGGGUGAGUCGACCCCUAAGGCGAGGCCGAAAGGCGUAGUCGAUGGGAAACGGGUUAAUAUUCCCGUACUUGGUGUUACUGCGAAGGGGGGACGGAGAAGGCUAUGUUGGCCGGGCGACGGUUGUCCCGGUUUAAGCGUGUAGGUGUGUGUUCCAGGUAAAUCCGGUUCACUUUAACACUGAGGCGUGACGACGAGGCACUACGGUGCUGAAGCAACAAAUGCCCUGCUUCCAGGAAAAGCCUCUAAGCAUCAGGUAACAUCAAAUCGUACCCCAAACCGACACAGGUGGUCAGGUAGAGAAUACCAAGGCGCUUGAGAGAACUCGGGUGAAGGAACUAGGCAAAAUGGUGCCGUAACUUCGGGAGAAGGCACGCUGACACGUAGGUGAAGUGAUUUACUCAUGGAGCUGAAGUCAGUCGAAGAUACCAGCUGGCUGCAACUGUUUAUUAAAAACACAGCACUGUGCAAACACGAAAGUGGACGUAUACGGUGUGACGCCUGCCCGGUGCCGGAAGGUUAAUUGAUGGGGUCAGCGCAAGCGAAGCUCCUGAUCGAAGCCCCGGUAAACGGCGGCCGUAACUAUAACGGUCCUAAGGUAGCGAAAUUCCUUGUCGGGUAAGUUCCGACCUGCACGAAUGGCGUAAUGAUGGCCAGGCUGUCUCCACCCGAGACUCAGUGAAAUUGAACUCGCUGUGAAGAUGCAGUGUACCCGCGGCAAGACGGAAAGACCCCGUGAACCUUUACUAUAGCUUGACACUGAACAUUGAGCCUUGAUGUGUAGGAUAGGUGGGAGGCUUUGAAGUGUGGACGCCAGUCUGCAUGGAGCCGACCUUGAAAUACCACCCUUUAAUGUUUGAUGUUCUAACGUGGACCCGUAAUCCGGGUUGCGGACAGUGUCUGGUGGGUAGUUUGACUGGGGCGGUCUCCUCCUAAAGAGUAACGGAGGAGCACGAAGGUUGGCUAAUCCUGGUCGGACAUCAGGAGGUUAGUGCAAUGGCAUAAGCCAGCUUGACUGCGAGCGUGACGGCGCGAGCAGGUGCGAAAGCAGGUCAUAGUGAUCCGGUGGUUCUGAAUGGAAGGGCCAUCGCUCAACGGAUAAAAGGUACUCCGGGGAUAACAGGCUGAUACCGCCCAAGAGUUCAUAUCGACGGCGGUGUUUGGCACCUCGAUGUCGGCUCAUCACAUCCUGGGGCUGAAGUAGGUCCCAAGGGUAUGGCUGUUCGCCAUUUAAAGUGGUACGCGAGCUGGGUUUAGAACGUCGUGAGACAGUUCGGUCCCUAUCUGCCGUGGGCGCUGGAGAACUGAGGGGGGCUGCUCCUAGUACGAGAGGACCGGAGUGGACGCAUCACUGGUGUUCGGGUUGUCAUGCCAAUGGCACUGCCCGGUAGCUAAAUGCGGAAGAGAUAAGUGCUGAAAGCAUCUAAGCACGAAACUUGCCCCGAGAUGAGUUCUCCCUGAGACUU